GUAAUCAACAACUUAAUGUAUUGUGGAUCAAUGACGUCAAUCGCAAUCAAUUUGACUUAUUGAAUCACAUGACAAGGAUGGAGAAAGUGAGUUCAAAAGUUAAAAAGGAUUUCAAAGUUAUUGAUAGAAUGAAAUAUGGCUUCAGCCUUGUGAGAAAUGUUAAGAUCGAUUACAAAGGGACUAAGCUUAGUUAGCACUAUGUCACCUGCGAAUCAAGUUCUUUGGAGAACUUGCAGUAGGCUUCACUCAUGUUCCAUCGUUGUAACCAUGGCCAAUUUAUGCACUCUUAACUCAAGUUUCAAUGCUGAGAGUGGCAAUGGUACUGCAACCCUACAACCCUCCUUCACAACACUUUGGCUUUUGAGAAUAUCACCAUUUUGAAAGUCGGCAUCAUUCCUGACUUCCUGUGAUGUAUCCCAAGUGUCCAUAAAGCUCUCUAAUUAAAGGAUGGAGGCUCAAAAUGCCAUGGGAAAUAUGUUCAUGACUCAUGAGG
This is a long non-coding RNA of Trifolium pratense (red clover), 493 nucleotides long. RefSeq lists it as uncharacterized. The record is from RefSeq and is a predicted model, not a curated record. The transcript has 4 exons. NCBI's taxonomy places the organism in Eukaryota, Viridiplantae, Streptophyta, Magnoliopsida, Fabales, Fabaceae.